ACGGAAGGCAGCAGUGGGGAAUAUUGCACAAUGGGGGAAACCCUGAUGCAGCGACGCCGCGUGGAGGAAGAAGGUCUUCGGAUUGUAAACUCCUGUUGUUAGGGACGAUAAUGACGGUACCUAACAAGGAAGCCACGGCUAACUACGUGCCAGCAGCCGCGGUAAAACGUAGGUGGCAAGCGUUGUCCGGAAUUACUGGGUGUAAAGGGAGCGCAGGCGGACCGACAAGUUGGAAGUGAAACCCACGGGCUCAACCUGUGGCCUGCUUCCAAAACUGUCGGUCUUGAGUAGUGCAGAGGUAGGCGGAAUUCCCGGUGUAGCGGUGGAAUGCGUAGAUAUCGGGAGGAACACCAGUGGCGAAGGCGGCCUACUGGGCACCAACUGACGCUGAGGCUCGAAAGUAUGGGUAGCAAACAGGAUUAGAUACCCUGGUA
This 434-nucleotide ribosomal RNA is filed under the name uncultured Oscillospiraceae bacterium. RNAcentral's name for it is "bacterial SSU rRNA". It matches the Rfam family "Bacterial small subunit ribosomal RNA", at positions 341 to 792 of the family's 1533-position model. Lineage: Bacteria; Bacillati; Bacillota; Clostridia; Eubacteriales; Oscillospiraceae. The record is from RNAcentral.